Pelobates cultripes (western spadefoot toad) is the source of this 3639-nucleotide non-coding RNA. The record is from the annotation of a GenBank genome assembly. NCBI's taxonomy places the organism in Eukaryota, Metazoa, Chordata, Amphibia, Anura, Pelobatidae.
UAAUCAUCUACUUGCGGUUUUCAGCAUUACAGGGAUAGCCCUGUAAUGCUGAACAUCAGGCAUGACGAUAUGUUGUGAUUGGUGGUGGGAGAAGCUGUCAUGGUGUGUUCAGACCCUGGGGAUCUCCCUUGAGCACCUACUGAGUGUGAUCUGCUCAGCCAUGGAGUUCUCAAUGGAUUUAAAGGGCUACAUGACCUUUGAAUGCUGCAUAAAUCUCAUUGGUCAGCCUUGGGCCUCUAAAUGUGGCCCUAGCUUCAGAGGGGAACGCCAUCGCUUGAUACCUGGGUCUCACUGGUGUUAUUUAACCCUGCUCACAGCAGGGAAUUAGCAAUAGGCAACAGCACAUCUGUUGAUCUGAGGCCACUAAAAAUAGCCCAAGGUGACAUAGAGGAGCUCCAAGUAUCUAUUUAUUACCUGGUUCUCCAGGUGCAAGCAGGGAUUCAACUUUGCAUUGUAAUAGUUCUGCAGCUCAUCUGUCAGUCUAGGGCCACUAAAAAUGGCCUCAGUUUACAGAGGGGAACCCCAGGUAUCAAGUGAUACUUCGGACUCCUUGAUGUAAGUGGAGAUUUAACCCUGCUUACACUUGAACGUGCAUGCACUUGUACAGUAUUUCUUAACGGGUGCUUAAGUGCAUAUGUGCAUGCACCAAGAAUCAAAGGGCGAUGAUGUCACUCUGGACACAAAUGGGCUGCAGAGGGGGUUAGUGGGCAAGGAACUAUGACUUCCAUAGAAAUCAUAAUUGCGUUUUAAGAAUGAGAAUUAUACUAUGGUAUUAGGAAACGGCGUAAUCCAUAAAAUUACCAAAAUGUUGAUGAGCAAUAGAUUUAAUGAAACAGGAAUUAGAGGUUUAGACAAUUCUCCAGCAUCCAGCUUGGGUGGUGUAAUUGCACUUAUGUACAUUGUAGAAUUGAAUGCAUAUUGUAUGUUUUAGACUUCAUCCAUUUACAUGCACACUCUCCCCAAGCAUAAGGAUAAUAAUCCCUGUUUAGGAAUUAUCCUGUAAUAACAGAUGGCAUGUAAUGCCAAAAUAAAGAUUACACAUGCCCAGUUACUAUAAUUCAGGGCUUGAGAGCCUGAAAUGAGAACUGCUAUCACCCAGAAUAUUGCUGUCUGCAAGACUGCCAUCCUGUAUAAAAAUUUUACAAGAAAAUUAAAGGUACCAUUUAAAUUACUGGCUUGGUGAUUGUUGCAAGUGCCACGAUCCCGAUUAGUUAGUUAAUUUGUUCUCAAUUUCAAGUCCAUGUGUAUAUGAGCAGCAAAUUAUAUUUAUAGUCCAUAUAACUGUAAAAAAUUUGACUGAGCCAGCUGUUGUUAAAAUGCUGCAUUGUACCCCCAGGAGCAGGCUUUAUUAUGAUGUGCCAGGCACUGUCUCCCAAUGAAAUCAUCAAGGGAUUACUUGUCAUAUGUGAUACUGCACCAGUCAGAUCUACAUUAUGAUUGACAGGAUGUUAGAUUGAAUUGAAAAUGAAAACCGGGAGAGGGAUUUCAGGAAGUAAAGUUUAUGAAGACGAAGUAAAGCAGCAUUGGUUAAAAAUAAUAAUAAUAAUAAUACAAAAAAAUUAUAUUUAUAUAAAGAGAGAGGAUCAUGGGUGAGGAGGGAGAAAGCACAUACAUUUAAAAGCCCACAGGAAAAUGUCAGGUGAAAAAUAUAGCUGUUUUUUCAAGCAACAUUGAAAUAGUUCUGCAUUCAUGAGAGUGGUGGAGUCAGUAUAGAGCAAUUAAAAUAUAUACAGUUGAAAAUAAAGCCUCUAGCUUUUCAGGUAACUGGGAAUUUAUGGACUUAAAGGGGAAUGCAAAGGCACUAUAACCACUGCAGCUCUCUAUGCUACCAAGAGUCCACUGCCACUAUCCAACAGUGAGUAGUCAAACUGUUUUUAAAAUGACUAUGCUCUUAUCUGGUUGCCUUGCUUUUGCUUAAGAUACUGUAUAUCAAUUUUGUCUGUAUUUGCCCAAGAUUAAUCAGCUCAGAGCAUCAGAUGACUCUGCCAUCUAAUGACAUUAAAGUUCCAUGGAAACACUGAAUUUAGGUUAUGAAAGGUUGCAAAAGUAUUAAUUUACACAUUGGAGAUAUAAAAAAUGGAGGCUGUACCGAACUUCUUACCGUGGAAUCACCUCUUGGCAUCAUAAACACUACAGCAGACUGUUUAAGGGGGCAUAGACUUAGGGGGUUAUAGUGCAAGGAGCUGUGGAAUAUACCUCCCAUGGCUACAGCUUAUUGUAGUGGCAAUGAUGCAAGGAGUCUGUCAACAACACACCAUAGUUUUUGUCAAAGCAUUUGAAUAGUUUUACAAAAUGAGACUAUCCGGGUGUCUUCACUGCUCUCAUACGGCACUCACUGUGGAAUUGAACUUACAAGUUUGUCCAGUCAGGCAGUCUCUGCUUGUUAUCGCAGCCUCUCCUUUAAAGCUGGAUGGCCUACUGCACGUUUUCAUAAGCCCAAUGUCUACCACGGGCCUUGCUGUAGGCACCGGGAGAAUCUCAGUGUUUGUCAAACUAUUCUAAAAUGAUUUGACACAAACUGGAGGGGACAGCACCCACUGACUCCACCAUAAACCAACAAUGAUCUUUAGUAGUUAUGGUGCUUAGGGUGUCCCUUGAAUGGAUUAUAAUAUAGCAAUAAUAAACAUGAACGUAAUGGGAGGGUAAUGCUCAUCCAAUGAAUGCUAUGUAAAUAUGGGUGAUAUUUCAAAUGUGAAAGUGGAACUUAGAUUGCCCCUUUAUGUCUGUUGCCAUCCAUUAACAUGUAUAUGAAAAUCUAAUAAACAGCCUUGGAACAACUUCACUGACCAUUCUUCAUACUAAUGUCGCUUUCUUGCAAAUGAAACAAUUAAUUGUAUUUUUUGCCCUGUCUCAAAUAUACUAAAUGCAAAAGUUUAAAUCCCUCAAGAAACAUUAGUGAUCUUACAAAGAUGUAUACUAAUAGCCAAGUUUGAAAGGAGAGCUAACAUUUCUUAAUUAUUUCCUACUGCGUAAAAGGUGUGUUCUAAUUGGUGAAGCUGGUUAUUAAGUAAUUAAAGUAUAGGUCCAGCAACAUUUUUCUUGGGAGGAAUUCCCAACCACAGUGCAGAUGCAUGAAAUUCAAUGCUCCUUAGAAUUACCCAGGAUGAAUUUCCUCUCAAGUACUCUCUAGUAGGUUGAUGAAUGACACCAUUAAACCAAAUCCCACAUUUAAUAAUCAUCUGUCCUUCAUAUAGAGAAUAAAACAAAAUAUAAACAAAUCAAAGAAUAACUCUCCCAGUUCAGAUGCAAACACGUAGGUAAUGCUUCCAUAUUACCAAUGCGUUUAGCUCUUUAUCACAACCUGAGUCAUUAUCUCCCUGGUGCAGCAAUGUCCCAAGGCCAAGACCCCACAGCUACCUCGCCACAUAAACCCCUUAAAGCCAUGUUCACAAAAAAAAAAAACACUUCCCUCAGAUUUCUCUACUCCUUAUCCAUAUGCAUAUAGUCAGACAUAUGAAGACAGGGAUUUGUAGACAAUAAGAGAAAAACAAUGAAGCAGAUUCAGAGAGACAGAGUAAGCCAGAGUGACUACAAUAUUUGCAGUGGUAGUAGCUCAUCUAUAGGUGCAUUUCACAGAGGCAUACCCCACCUUAUAACUAUUGCUAUAAUAAGAAGGAAAAAAAAAAUCUACAGGGAGUG